RNAcentral lists this ribosomal RNA (483 nucleotides) under uncultured bacterium. Its description in RNAcentral is "partial 16S ribosomal RNA". It matches the Rfam family "Bacterial small subunit ribosomal RNA", at positions 29 to 506 of the family's 1533-position model. The record is from RNAcentral.
AUUGAACGCUGGCGGCAUGCUUUACACAUGCAAGUCGAACGGCAGCGCGGGCUUCGUCCUGGCGGCGAGUGGCGAACGGGUGAGUAAUGCAUCUGAACGUGCCCAGUAGUGGGGGAUAGCCCGGCGAAAGCCGGAUUAAUACCGCAUACGACCUGAGGGUGAAAGCGGGGGACCGAAAGGCCUCGCGCUAUUGGAGCGGCCGAUGUCGGAUUAGCUAGUUGGUGGGGUAAAGGCUUACCAAGGCGACGAUCCGUAGCUGGUCUGAGAGGACGACCAGCCACACUGGGACUGAGACACGGCCCAGAAGCCUACGGGAGGCAGCAGUGGGGAAUUUUGGACAAUGGGGGCAACCCUGAUCCAGCCAUGCAGCGGGCGGGAAGAAGGCCUUCGGGUGGUAAACCGCUUUUGUUCGGGAAGAAAUCCUCUGGGCUAAUACCCCGGGGGGAUGACGGAACCGGAAGAAUAAGCACCGGCUAACUACGU